Molecule: ribosomal RNA, 393 nt
Filed under: uncultured bacterium
Lineage: Bacteria
Description: partial 16S ribosomal RNA
Rfam family: Bacterial small subunit ribosomal RNA
Source: RNAcentral
AUACGGAAGGUCCGGGCGUUAUCCGGAUUUAUUGGGUUUAAAGGGAGCGCAGGCCGAAGGUUAAGCGUGACGUGAAAUGUAGCCGCUCAACGGCUGUACUGCGUCGCGAACUGGCUUUCUUGAGUGAGUUCGAUGUGGGCGGAAUUCGUGGUGUAGCGGUGAAAUGCUUAGAUAUCACGAAGAACUCCGAUUGCGAAGGCAGCCCACAAGGCCUUUACUGACGCUAAAGCUCGAAGGUGCGGGUAUCGAACAGGAUUAGAUACCCUGGUAGUCCGCACGGUAAACGAUGGAUGCCCGCUGUUUGCGAUAUACUGUGAGCGACCAAGAGAAAUCGUUAAGCAUCCCACCUGGGGAGUACGCCGGCAACGGUGAAACUCAAAUGAAUUGACGGGG